AGAGUUUGAUCCUGGCUCAGAACGAACGCUGGCGGCAUGCCUAACACAUGCAAGUCGAACGAAGUCCUUCGGGGCUUAGUGGCGCACGGGUGCGUAACGCGUGGGAAUCUGCCCUUGGGUUCGGAAUAACAGUUAGAAAUGAUUGCUAAUACCGGAUGAUGUCUUCGGACCAAAGAUUUAUCGCCCAAGGAUGAGCCCGCGUAGGAUUAGGUAGUUGGUGGGGUAAAGGCCUGCCAAGCCGACGAUCCUUAGCUGGUCUGAGAGGAUGAUCAGCCACACUGGGACUGAGACACGGCCCAGACUCCUACGGGAGGCAGCAGUGGGGAAUAUUGGACAAUGGGGGCAACCCUGAUCCAGCAAUGCCGCGUGAGUGAUGAAGGCCUUAGGGUCGUAAAGCUCUUUUACCAGGGAUGAUAAUGACAGUACUGAGAAUAG
RNAcentral lists this ribosomal RNA (435 nucleotides) under uncultured bacterium. Its description in RNAcentral is "bacterial SSU rRNA". It matches the Rfam family "Bacterial small subunit ribosomal RNA", at positions 8 to 465 of the family's 1533-position model. The record is from RNAcentral.